This 464-nucleotide ribosomal RNA is filed under the name uncultured bacterium. RNAcentral's name for it is "partial 16S ribosomal RNA". It matches the Rfam family "Bacterial small subunit ribosomal RNA", at positions 28 to 507 of the family's 1533-position model. The record is from RNAcentral.
GACGAACGCUGGCGGCGUGCUUAACACAUGCAAGUCGAACGGUAAGGCCCCAGCUUGCUGGGGUACACGAGUGGCGAACGGGUGAGUAACACGUGGGUGACCUGCCCCGCACUUCGGGAUAAGCCUGGGAAACUGGGUCUAAUACCGGAUAGGACCGCACCGUGAGGGUGUGGUGGAAAGUUUUUCGGUGUGGGAUGGGCCCGUGGCCUAUCAGCUUGUUGGUGGGGUAAUGGCCUACCAAGGCGGCGACGGGUAGCCGGCCUGAGAGGGUGGACGGCCACAUUGGGACUGAGACACGGCCCAGACUCCUACGGGAGGCAGCAGUGGGGAAUAUUGCACAAUGGGCGGAAGCCUGAUGCAGCGACGCCGCGUGGGGGAUGACGGCCUUCGGGUUGUAAACUCCUUUCACCAUCGACGAAGGUUUUCUGACGGUAGAUGGAGAAGAAGCACCGGCUAACUACGUG